CCUACGGGUGGCAGCAGUGAGGAAUAUUGGUCAAUGGCCGGAAGGCUGGACCAGCCAUGCCGCGUGAAGGUCAGUGCCCUAUGGGCGUUAAACUUCUUUUGUGCGGGAGCAAUAAUGGUCACGUGUGGCCAGACGAGAGUACCGUACGAAUAAGCAUCGGCUAACUCCGUGCCAGCAGCGGCGGUAAUACGGGGGAUGCAAGCGUUAUCCGGAUUUAUUGGGUUUAAAGGGUGCGUAGGCUGGGAGGUAAGUCAGCGGGGAAAUGCCCCCGCUCAACGGGGUGAAGUGCCAUUGAUACUGCCAUGCUGGAAUGCGUAUGCCGUGGGAGGAAUGUGUGGUGUAGCGGUGAAAGGCAUAGAUAUCACACAGAACACAGAGUGCGAAGGCAUCUCACGAAUCCGCGAUUGACGCUGAUGAACGAAAGCGUGGGUAUCAAACAGGAUGAGAUACCCGUGUAGUC
This 460-nucleotide ribosomal RNA is filed under the name uncultured bacterium. RNAcentral describes it as "partial 16S ribosomal RNA". It matches the Rfam family "Bacterial small subunit ribosomal RNA", at positions 338 to 795 of the family's 1533-position model. The record is from RNAcentral.